CACUCAAUUAACCUCAAUUGCGGAUGGUCCAAAGCACUCUAAGUCAUUCUCCAUUACAUAUGUACGGCUGCAGUUGACAUGUAUCAUUGACAAAUGGUAUCCAUAUGUACCUAACCAUCAAACACACAGAAAGAAGUCAUAUCUUUGGGUAACAAUUAACAUGUAACUAUACUUUAGAAAAGGUUUGUAAAGGCAUUUAUUUUUGGAUUUGUGAAGUCUACAUAAGCACGACAUAAAUGCUUCAGGAAUCCUUUAAAGACAAAGUCAUACUGCAUAAAGGCUGAUACAAAAUGUUCCUCCAUCUGCUGCUUUGCCAAAUGUGGCGUAAUCCUUUUGCAUGGCACGUGUAUUUGAAUGAUCUAUAUUCUAGGCCUUGUGGGUUGGUCAUGAGGGUUUAUGAAGGCAUGGCUAUUUUUAACUGGGCUUUAUUCAUGUUAUGUUGAAAUCCAUUGAGUAGUAGAAGGGUUAUGGGGUUCUUUUCCACCUGGCGUCCUGCUUGUGUUUUCAGAUGUCACUGCUUGUCAGACAUCACUGUGUUAAAUAUGAACUUUAAUCCUGUUAGUGUAAUCAAAACUCACACAGCACCAGGCCAUCUGGGAUCACAGUACACACCACAGGGUAUACAAAAUACACACUCGCGCAUGCAGGCGCGCAUACACACACACUGCUCUCACUGACAAAAUAGCUUGCGGGCAGAAAACAAUGCAAAGUGAAAGGAAAUUAAUAUUUAAGUAGAUCAUUUGCAAGAUUUUAGAUAAUUAGCAGGACAUAUUCAUGUAUUCAGGUUGGGGAAUAUAUCACAUUGAGACAUUUCUGCUUAUUCUAAUCAGAUACAUGCAACCUGUCACUGGGUUCGCGUAUGCAAAUGGCCAUAUGCUACUAAUUACCUACGGCUGUCAUAAGCCGAGACGUUCCCUCUCCGAACGCUGAAACUUUAUUAUUAACUGUUCAACUGGACUCUUCAGAUUUAACUAAAACGUGUUUGUCCCUAAGGUCCUAUCAAAGCAUGGCAGAAAUGUGCACAUCUCAACCAGACUGGAAUUAGAUUGCUAAAUAAAGAGACUCCCAAAUGCUUUUGUCCUGGUCGCAUUCCAACGUCAGGGUAACAAAGUUUUGUCUUUGUUAACUAGAGACUUUCAUGCUGAGCUGCCAAGCUUAUUCCAUAUACCCCUAUUCUGCAUUUAAAAACAAUCUAACCUAUCUGUUAAAAGUUAACUCUGUUUACUGUAGGAUAUCUACACUGUGUACAAAACAUGUAGAACACCAGAUCUUUCCAUGACAUAGACUGACCAGGUGAAUCCAGGUGAAAGAUAUGAUCCCUUAUUGAUGUCACUUGUUAAAUCAACUUCAAUCAGUAUAGAUGAAAGGGAGGAGACUGGUUAAAGGAUGAUAUUUAACACAAUUGAGACAUGGAUUGUAUACUGUAUGUGUGCCAUUCAGAGGGUGAAUGGGCAAGACAAAAUAUAUCAGUGCCUUUGAACUGGGUAUGAUAGUAGGUGCCAGGCCGAGUGCACACCUGUCAAGAACUGGGUUUUUCACACUCAACAGUUUCCCGUGUGUAUCAAGAAUGGUCCACCACCCAAAGGACAUCCUUUGUCAACAUGGGCCAACAUCCCUGUGGAACGCUUUCAACACUGUGUAGAGUCCCGACAAAUUGAGACUGUUCUAAGUCCAAAAGGGAUGUAACUCAUUAUUAGGAAGGUGUUCAUGUUUUGUACACUCAGUGUAUAUGUACUGUUUCACAAGUGUAUUUCAUGAUCUAGUGCUUCAGCCAUGUUCUUCUUCUGCAGCAGUCAGCAGGUCAAGAGAUAAGAGAUAAGAGAUGGCAGGAGAUGAUCAACACGUUUAUUUAACUGAUCCAGUCUAACUACUCUCCUUUUUCAUCCCUCUCCCUCUCUUUCUCUCUGUCUGUCUCUCUCCUCCUCUCUCUGUCUCUCUCUUUCUCUCCCUUUCUCUCUGUCUCUGUCUCUCUCCUCCUCUCUCUGUCUCUCUCUUUCUCUGUCUCUCUCUUCCGUUUUCUCUUUCCCGUUCUCUCUCCUCUCUGUCUCUCUCCUCCUCUCUCUGUCUCUCUCUUUCUCUGUCUCUCUCCUCCUCUCUCUGUCUCUCUCCUCUCUGUCUCUCUCUUCCGCUUUCUCUUUCUCUCUCCCGUUCUCUCUCCUCUCUAUCUCUCUCCUCCUCUCUCUUUCUCUCUCUCUCCUCCUCAAUCUGUCUCUCGCUGUCUUUCUCUCUCUCUCCUCCUCUCUCUUUCUCUGUCUGUCUCUCUCCUCCUCUCUCUUUCUCUUUUUCUCUCCUCCUCUCUCUUCUUUCUCUCUUUUCUGACAUAUUUUCUACAUUAGUAACAGAGAUGGAAACAUUUCUGUCUAAUUAUUUCCUGUAGUUUACCUUGGCCCUGUGUGUGUGUGUGUGUGUGUGUGUGUGUGUGUGUGUGUGUGUUAGAAGAGCAGUGUUGGGGAAACACAGCUUGGUAAACUAACAAUUACUUCCCACUGGAACAAGUUAAAGCUACACUAAAGCUGCCCGUAAGAAAAAUAUAGUUUAUUUAACUAAAGUUACUUUGAAAAAGAAGUUCACUACAUCUAAACCACUUGGUGAAAAAUGAUCAUAUGUACGUAAAUCUGUAUUGUCAGAAAUGAUUUCCUACUUCACACCCAUUUUAUUUUAUUUUUGCAAAAAAAAGUAGUGUGUAGUUCCAGUAGUUAGCUACAUCGCUACAUGGCUAAAAAGUAAUUAACUACUGAAAACACUACCUAGUUUUGAACUACCACCAAACGACUGCAAAUUGAAGUUCACUACGUGUGUGUGUACGUCCGUGGAGGCUGCUGAGGGGAAGACGGCUCAUAAUAAUGUCUGGAACAAAUGGCAUCAAACACAUAGAAACCAUGUGUUUGAUACUAUUCCACUCAUUCUGCUCAAGCCAUUCCCACGAGCCCUUCCUCCUCAAUGCAGGUGCCACCAACCCCCUGUGGUACACGUGAAUGUGCGUACUCUAAGUUUAAACCUAAGAUUGGAUGAAUGAAUGGCAAAAUUCUAGACUGUAAUUACAUAGUUUCAGAGAAGAUGUCUACUGCUGCUGGCAGACUCUAGUUCAGUACAUACAGAACAUACACACACCACUUCCUGUCUGGGCUCCGCUGGGCUUGCUGCCUCUUCUAUCACACACAUACAAACACACACACACGGUAGUGUCCAGUGGUAACACACACACACUCCAGUGGUACUUAUUAUGCUAGGGUUACAGUUUGGAAUCCUCUGUGUUUGUGUAAGACAUUCAUUCUGAGUUUAUUUUGCUUCAGCCUGAUAUUUCCCUAAACGCCACGAUUACGUCUCUCUCUACACCCCUUCCCUUUUUCAAUCUUCUCUUUCUCUAAAGCCAUUCCUUUUUCAAUCUUCUCUUUCUCUUUCUCUAAAGCCAUUCCUUUUUCAAUCUUCUCUUUCUCUACACCCCUUCCCUUUUUCAAUCUUCUCUUUCUCUAAAGCCAUUCCUUUUUCAAUCUUCUCUUUCUCUAAAGCCAUUCCUUUUUCAAUCUUCUCUUUCUCUAAAGCCAUUCCUUUUUCAAUCUUCUCUUUCUCUAAAGCCAUUUCAAUCUUCUCUUUCUCUAAAGCCAUUCCUUUUUCAAUCUUCUUUCUCUACACCCCUUCCCUUUUUUCUUCUCUUUCUCUAAAGCCAUUCCUUUUUCAAUCUUCUCUUUCUCUAAAGCCAUUCCUUUUUCAAUCUUCUCUUUCUCUAAAGCCAUUCCUUUUUCAAUCUUCUUUCUCUAAAGCCAUUCCUUUUUCAAUCUUCUCUUUCUCUUUCUCUAAAGCCAUUCCUUUUUCAAUCUUCUCUUUCUCUAAAGCCAUUCCUUUUUCAAUCUUCUCUUUCUCUACACCCCUUCCCUUUUUCAAUCUUCUCUUUCUCUAAAGCCAUUCCUUUUUCAAUCUUCUCUUUCUCUAAAGCCAUCCCUUUUUCAUGUUUGCCUUUCAGUUUAUUUUCUUGUCGUUUUCUACCCGCUAUUUGGUCUUUCGUGGCACUCCCUUUCUUCAUCUUCUCUUACACUGCUACCAUUUUUUCUAUUUUGGUUCACCCCACCACUUUGGUUCACCCCACCCAGAAAACCCCUGUUCAUAUCCCCCUACGGCAUUCCCCUCCUCUCUAACUAACAGAGUGUGUUGUACAGUACUUUUUGUGGUUGGGCCUGGUUUUCUGUUCCAUUAUUGGGUAAAUGUAAGAGCUGAACCACCAUAGACCACCCAGAGACACAAUACACUCCUCAUGGUGUUUACACACACACAUCCACACCUACACACAUGUACACACCAGUGGCGCCUGGUGGGAGGAGCUAUAGGAGGACAGGCUCAUUGUAAUGGCUGGAAUGGAAUAAAUGGAACAGCAUCAAACACAUCAUAUGUAUGGAAAUCACAUGUUUGACUCCAUUCCAUUCCAGCCAUUACAAUGAGCCUGUCCUCCUACAGCUCCUCCCACCAGCCUCCACUGGAACACACCAAACUCAAAGUUAUCUUAAUCAAAACAAAUAACAAAGACCCAAAGCCAAUCAAUGAAAUGUAUUAAUGAAAACUGAAAUGCAUUUUAUUAUUUUCUAAUGACAUGCUUUACAGCUCUUUACAGCGCUCUGUUAGACUGCAGAUGAGUUGUUGUGUGUGUGUGUGUUUGUACGUGCUUGUGUGUCUGUGUGUCUGUGUGUCUGUGUGACUGCCACAGUGAAGUUUCAGAGCAGUGUUCUCUGGUCUGAUACUGCCCCCUAUUGUUCUCAUCCACUAAUCGUGUCACCUGUCUCUGUCUGCUGAUGAAGUAAGGAAAGGAUCAUCCUGGUAGUAUUCUGAGCUAGUACGGUGGAUACAUCUGAAAUACUUCGUUGUAGAAAACGAUAGGGUUCUCAAUUAUGAACCUCCCAAAAAUAUUAAAUGCUUUAUUCCAUGUCUGAAAUGUUUAUACAUUUUUAUUAAACACAUCUAUACCUAUUUUCUAUCUCCUCCACUAACCCUUCUAUCUCUCCUCCCC
Long non-coding RNA from Oncorhynchus tshawytscha (Chinook salmon), 4996 nucleotides. NCBI's taxonomy places the organism in Eukaryota, Metazoa, Chordata, Actinopteri, Salmoniformes, Salmonidae. The record is from Ensembl.